CACUGACAAGCUGCUGGAAGACUUUUUUCUACACUGUUGUACUGAACUUUGUACCUCCACUAGAGGGAGACAUUAUCAAGUAGGAGGUGCACUACUUCUGCACUGUGUUCAACCAUUCAGUCAAUAAUAAGUGCUGCUGUGAAGAGAACAAUUCUCAGACUGAAUGUUGAACAUCAGCUAGUUUCUCCUGUUGAUUUAAACCUUGUUGUAGAGAUGGAACAUUGGCUGUGGAUUAUUCUUGCUGCUCUUUUCUUUGAGUGUAAAGGAGAUGACAGAGUGAACCAGCCAAAAAGAGAUGUCAUUACUACUGAAGGAGAGACAGUUACUCUUGACUGUACAUUUGAGACCAGUAUCCCAACUCCCACUUUGUACUGGUACAAACAAGAAGAAAAUGAUUACCCAAAGAUGCUGCUGCAACGUUUCUCUGUAAAAACUGACAAUUCUAAAGCGCAAGAGAGAAUUGAUGCAACAAUCAAGGAUAAGUCAGUUCCUCUGAAGAUCCAGAAGCUUCAGCUGUCUGACUCUGCUGUGUACUACUGUGCUCUGCAGCCCACAGUGACAGGAAACACCAAAACUCUGUACAAAAACCUUUGGAGCAAAGACAACAUAAUACUCCACAACAUCCACCAGAGGAAGUCACACACUGUUAAAUGUUGA
This is a non-coding RNA of Perca flavescens (yellow perch), 657 nucleotides long. The record is from the annotation of a RefSeq genome assembly. NCBI's taxonomy places the organism in Eukaryota, Metazoa, Chordata, Actinopteri, Perciformes, Percidae.